AUUGAACGCUGGCGGCAGGCCUAACACAUGCAAGUCGAGCGGAUGAAGGGAGCUUUCUCCUGUAUUCAGCGGCGGACGGGUGAGUAAUGCCUAGGAAUCUGCCUGGUAUUGGGGGAUAACGUCCGGUAACGGGCGCUAAUACCGCAUACGUCCUGAGGGUGAAAGUGGGGGAUCUUCGGACCUCACGCUAUCUGAUGAGCCUGGGACGGAUUAGCUAGUUGGUUGGGUAAAGGCCUACCAAGGCGACGAUCCGUAACUGGUCUGAGAGGAUGAUCAGUCACACUGGAACUGAGACACGGUCCAGACUCCUACGGGAGGCAGCAGUAGGGAAUAUUGGACAAUGGGCGAAAGCCUGAUCCAGCCAUGCCGCGUGUGUGAAGAAGGUCUUCGGAUUGUAAAGCACUUUAAGUUGGGAGGAAGGACAGUAAGUUAAUACAUUGCUGUUUUGACGUUACCAACAGAAAAAGCACCGGCUAACUACGUG
Molecule: ribosomal RNA, 484 nt
Filed under: uncultured bacterium
Lineage: Bacteria
Description: partial 16S ribosomal RNA
Rfam family: Bacterial small subunit ribosomal RNA
Source: RNAcentral